This 404-nucleotide ribosomal RNA is filed under the name Verrucomicrobiota bacterium. RNAcentral describes it as "Verrucomicrobia bacterium partial 16S ribosomal RNA". It matches the Rfam family "Bacterial small subunit ribosomal RNA", at positions 355 to 776 of the family's 1533-position model. The record is from RNAcentral. Lineage: Bacteria; Pseudomonadati; Verrucomicrobiota.
UGGGGAAUAUUGCACAAUGGGCGAAAGCCUGAUGCAGCGACGCCGCGUGAGCGAAGAAGUAUUUCGGUAUGUAAAGCUCUAUCAGAAGGGAAGAAAAUGACGGUACCUUACUAAGAAGCUCCGGCUAAAUACGUGCCAGCAGCCGCGGUAAUACGUAUGGAGCAAGCGUUAUCCGGAUUUACUGGGUGUAAAGGGAGUGUAGGCGGCACUAUAAGUCUGAUGUGAAAACCUAAGGCUUAACCAUAGAAUUGCAUUGGAAACUGUAGAGCUGGAGUAUCGGAGAGGCAAGCGGAAUUCCUGGUGUAGUGGUGAAAUGAGUAGAUAUCAGGAAGAACAUCGGUAGCGAAGGCGGCUUGCUGGACGAUAACUGACGCUAAAGAUCGAAAGCGUGGGAAGCGAACAGG